Molecule: ribosomal RNA, 253 nt
Filed under: uncultured bacterium
Lineage: Bacteria
Description: partial 16S ribosomal RNA
Rfam family: Bacterial small subunit ribosomal RNA
Source: RNAcentral
UACAGAGGGUGCGAGCGUUAAUCGGAAUUAUUGGGCGUAAAGGGUGCGUAGGCGGAUGCACAAGUGAUAUGUGAAAUACCUGGGCUUAACCUGGGGAGGUCAUGUCAGACUGUGCGUCUAGAAUGUGGUAGAGGAAGGUGGAAUUCCUGGUGUAGCGGUGAAAUGCGUAGAUAUCAGGAAGAACAUCAAUGGCGAAGGCAACCUUCUGGGCCAUUAUUGACGCUGAGGCACGAAAGCGUGGGGAGCGAACAGG